UGACAGGCGGGAGGCUGUGACGCGCGGCCCCAACCCCGGCCGCCGGGACCGCGCCGAGCCACUGGCGAGACCGACCCGUGCAA
This 83-nucleotide non-coding RNA is filed under the name unclassified sequences. The record is from Rfam.